AUACGGAGGAUGCGAGCGUUAUCCGGAUUUAUUGGGUUUAAAGGGAGCGUAGGCGGGAGCUUAAGUCAGCGGUUAAAUGGUGCGGCUCAACCGUGCCCUGCCGUUGAAACUGGGUUUCUUGAGAGUGCAAGAGGCGGAUGGAAUUCAUGGUGUAGCGGUGAAAUGCUUAGAUAUCAUGAAGAACUCCGAUUGCGAAGGCAGUCCGCUGGGGCACGUCUGACGCUGAUGCUCGAAGGUGCGGGAAUCAAACAGGAUUAGAUACCCUGGUAGUCCGCACGGUAAACGAUGAUUACCCGCUGUCGGCGGCAGACAGUCGGCGGCCAAGCGAAAGCGAUAAGUAAGCCACCUGGGGAGUACGCCGGCAACGGUGAAACUCAAAUGAAUUGACGGGG
RNAcentral lists this ribosomal RNA (392 nucleotides) under uncultured bacterium. RNAcentral describes it as "partial 16S ribosomal RNA". It matches the Rfam family "Bacterial small subunit ribosomal RNA", at positions 523 to 918 of the family's 1533-position model. The record is from RNAcentral.